Molecule: long non-coding RNA, 385 nt
Organism: Amblyraja radiata (thorny skate)
Lineage: Eukaryota; Metazoa; Chordata; Chondrichthyes; Rajiformes; Rajidae
Exons: 3
Source: RefSeq, a predicted model, not a curated record
AAGAAUUAACAGACAAGGAAGCGGAUUUGAGGAGUUGAACGGGACUGGGUGGUGGAAGAAGGGAAACUGCACACUUCCAGACAGAUCGGGAGCAAGUGGGGCACAAGGUUAAACAUAGUCCUCUUCCUUCUCGGAGCAGUUGCCACUUCUGCUCUACAUGUCUCAGAAGCGGUAUAUUGCGGCCCAUGAACUACAGCCUCACCCCAUUUUCUGUGACAGGAACAACAGGACCAGCUCACUGGUCAGGGAAUAGUGGCAUCGAUGAACAAAACGAUGAAGACAAUUGUUCUGGUCAUCCUCUUGUGGUGUUCGAUACCAGGCUCUUUCCCUAAGAAACUACAAAUUUCUCGAGGCUGGAAGAGAUCUGUGAAUACUACAACCCGGG